RNAcentral lists this ribosomal RNA (497 nucleotides) under uncultured bacterium. RNAcentral describes it as "partial 16S ribosomal RNA". It matches the Rfam family "Bacterial small subunit ribosomal RNA", at positions 28 to 507 of the family's 1533-position model. The record is from RNAcentral.
GAUGAACGCUGGCGGCGUGCCUAACACAUGCAAGUCGAGCGAACAGACGAGGUGCUUGCUCCUCUGACGUUAGCGGCGGACGGGUGAGUACCAUGUGGAUAACAUACCUAUCAGACUGGGAUAACUUCGGCAAACCGGAGCUAAUACCGGAUAACAUAUUGAACCGCAUGGUUCAACAGUGAAAGACGGUCUUGCUGUCACUUAAAGAUGGACCCGCGCCGCAUUAGAUAGUUGGGAAGGUAACGGCUCACCAAGGCAACGAUGCGUAGCCGACCCGAGAGAGUGAUCGGCGAGACUGGAAGUGAGACACGGCCCAGACUCCGACGGUGAGACGCAGUAGAGACUCAUCCGCGAUGGGCGAGAGGCUGAUGGAGCAACGCCGGGUAAGUUAAGAAGGUCUUCGGAUGGGAAAGCUCUGUUACUAUGGGAGAUGAAAUGUGUUUGUAACUGUGCACGUAUUGACGGUACCUGGUGAGUAAGCCACGGCUAACUACGUG